CUAAGGCGUUGAAGCAGUGUACGUCAGACUUCCAAGAACAGCUCGCAAUGUCAUAAAUAAAAACUGCCUGUACCAUAACCGACACAGGUGGGUAGGUAGAGUAUACUAAGGGGCGCGAGAUAACUCUCUCUAAGGAACUCGGCAAAAUGACUCCGUAACUUCGGGAGAAGGAGUGCCUUAUUUAUAAGGUUGCAAUAACAAGAUCCAAGCAACUGCUUAUCAAAAACACAGGUCUCCGCUAAGUCGUAAGACGAUGUAUGGGGGCUGACGCCUGCCCAGUGCCAGAAGGUUAAAGAAGUUGGUUAGUGUAUGCGAAGCUGAUGACUGAAGCCCUGGUGAACGGCGGCCGUAACAAUAACGGUCCUAAGGUAGCGAAAUUCCUUGUCGGGUAAGUUCCGACCCGCACGAAAGGCGUAAUGAUUUGGAUACUGUCUCGGAGAGAGGCUCGGUGAAAUAGACUUGUCUGUGAAGAUGCGGACUACCUGCACCAGGACAGAAAGACCCUAUGAAGCUUUACUGUAACUUGAAAUUGGAAUUGGACUUUGCUUGCGCAGUAUAGGUGGGAAGCGUUGAAGAUAUUCUUGCGGGAGUAUUGGAGCUAUCAGUGAGAUACCACUCUUGUAAUGUUAGAUUUCUAACUUUGAACCAUAAUCUGGUCAAAGAACAGUUUCAGGUGGGCAGUUUGACUGGGGCGGUCGCCUCCCAAAUGGUAACGGAGGCGUACAAAGGUUUCCUCUGAACGGAUAGAAAUCGUAUCUAGAGUGUAAAGGCAUAAGGAAGCUUGACUGUGAGACCUACAAGUCGAGCAGGGACGAAAGUCGGUCUUAGUGAUCUGACGGUACUGAGUGGAAAGGCCGUCACUCAACGGAUAAAAGUUACUCUAGGAUAACAGGCUGAUCUCCCCCAAGAGUUCACAUCGACGGGGAGGUUUGGCACCUCGAUGUCGGCUCAUCGCAUCCUGGGGCGGUAGUACGUCCCAAGGGUUGGGCUGUUCGCCCAUGAAAGCGGUACGCGAGCUGGGUUCAGAACGUCGUGAGACAGUUCGGUCCAUAUCCGGUGUAGGCGUUAGAAUAUUGAGAGGAGCCUUCUUUAGUACGAGAGGACCGAGAAGGACACACCGCUGGUGUACCAGUUAUCGUGCCAACGGUAAACGCUGGGUAGCUAUGUGUGGAGUGGAUAACCGCUGAAAGCAUCUAAGUGGGAAGCCCACCUCAAGAUGAGUAUUCUU
This 1228-nucleotide ribosomal RNA is filed under the name metagenome. RNAcentral describes it as "bacterial LSU rRNA". It matches the Rfam family "Bacterial large subunit ribosomal RNA", at positions 1577 to 2815 of the family's 2925-position model. The record is from RNAcentral.